UACGUAGGGGGCAAGCGUUGUCCGGAAUUAUUGGGCGUAAAGAGCUCGUAGGCGGCCUGUUGCGUCCGCUGUGAAAGCCCGGGGCUUAACCCCGGGUCGGCAGUGGAUACGGGCAGGCUAGAGGUAGGUAGGGGAGAAUGGAAUUCCCGGUGUAGCGGUGAAAUGCGCAGAUAUCGGGAGGAACACCGGUGGCGAAGGCGGUUCUCUGGGCCUUACCUGACGCUGAGGAGCGAAAGCAUGGGGAGCGAACAGG
This 253-nucleotide ribosomal RNA is filed under the name uncultured bacterium. RNAcentral describes it as "partial 16S ribosomal RNA". It matches the Rfam family "Bacterial small subunit ribosomal RNA", at positions 524 to 776 of the family's 1533-position model. The record is from RNAcentral.